RNAcentral lists this transfer-messenger RNA (281 nucleotides) under Bradyrhizobium sp. Its description in RNAcentral is "partial transfer-messenger RNA". It matches the Rfam family "Alphaproteobacteria transfer-messenger RNA", at positions 1 to 280 of the family's 355-position model. Rfam says of the family: Bacterial tmRNA, also known as 10Sa RNA or SsrA, is named for its dual tRNA and mRNA-like properties. Its role is to liberate the mRNA from a stalled ribosome. To accomplish this part of the tmRNA is used as a reading frame that ends in a translation stop signal. The record is from RNAcentral. Lineage: Bacteria; Pseudomonadati; Pseudomonadota; Alphaproteobacteria; Hyphomicrobiales; Nitrobacteraceae.
GCACUGUCUUUUCCGACUUCAGCCCCCUAUAUUGCAGGUGCCGGUUCGCCGGCUAUGGAAAUAAAUUGCCGUCGCAAUAAACCAUUCGGACCCGGGGGCGGUACCCGGCGCCUCCACCAAAGCCCGUCGACCCCGGCGGGUUUUGGCGGGGGCGAAACAGGAUCGACGAGGGCGUAAAGGGCGCGCUUUUUCCCGGUAUUGUUCCGCCGUUAUCGGGCUACUGCAAUAGUUGCCAACGACAACUAUGCUCCGGUUGCUCAGGCUGCGUAACGCAGUUUGAA